Molecule: ribosomal RNA, 460 nt
Filed under: uncultured bacterium
Lineage: Bacteria
Description: partial 16S ribosomal RNA
Rfam family: Bacterial small subunit ribosomal RNA
Source: RNAcentral
CCUACGGGCGGCUGCAGUGAGGAAUAUUGGUCAAUGGCCGGAAGGCUGAACCAGCCAAGCCGCGUGAAGGACGAAGGUGCCAAGCAUUGUAAACUUCUUUUGUCAAGGGACAAAAUCAGGCUCGAGAGCCUGACCGAGGGUACUUGAAGAAAAAGCAUCGGCUAACUCCGUGCCAGCAGCCGCGGUAAUACGUAGGUGGCAAGCGUUAUCCGGAAUUAUUGGGCGUAAAGAGCGCGCAGGUGGUUAAUUAAGUCUGAUGUGAAAGCCCACGGCUUAACCGUGGAGGGUCAUUGGAAACUGGUUGACUUGAGUGCAGAAGAGGGAAGUGGAAUUCCAUGUGUAGCGGUGAAAUGCGUAGAGAUAUGGAGGAACACCAGUGGCGAAGGCGGCUUCCUGGUCUGCAACUGACACUGAGGCGCGAAAGCGUGGGGAGCAAACAGGAUUAGAUACCCCUGUAGUC